CAGUCGCCACGGUAAUACGAAGGGGGCCAGCGUUGCUCGGAAUGACUGGGCGUAAAGGGCGCGUAGGCGGUUUUGACAGUCAGAUGUGAAAUUCCUGGGCUUAACCUGGGGGCUGCACCCGAUACGUGCAGGCUUGAGUGCGGAAGAGGGUCGUGGAAUUCCCAGUGUAGAGGUGAAAUUCGUAGAUAUUGGGAAGAACACCGGUGGCGAAGGCAGGUCUCUGGGCAUUAACUGACGCUGAGGAGCGAAAGCAUGGGGAGCGAACAGGAUUAGAUACCCCUGUAGUCCCUGUCUCUUAUAC
RNAcentral lists this ribosomal RNA (301 nucleotides) under uncultured bacterium. Its description in RNAcentral is "partial 16S ribosomal RNA". It matches the Rfam family "Bacterial small subunit ribosomal RNA", at positions 509 to 807 of the family's 1533-position model. The record is from RNAcentral.